GACAGACUCCUACGGGAGGCAGCAGUGGGGAAUAUUGCACAAUGGGGGAAACCCUGAUGCAGCGACGACGCGUGAGUGAAGAAGUAUUUCGGUAUGUAAAGCUCUAUCAGCAGGGAAGAAUAAAUGAUGGUACCUGAGUAAGAAGCCCCGACUAACUACGUGCCGGCAGCCGCGGUAAUACGUAGGGGGCAAGCGUUAUCCGGAUUUACUGGGUGUAAAGGGAGCGUAGACGGCGAUGCAAGCCAGAUGUGAAAGCCCGCGGCUCAACUGCGGUAGUGCAUUUGAAACUGUAUGGCUGGAGUGCCGGAGAGGCCGGCGGAAUUCCUAGUGUAGCGGUGAAAUGCGUAGAUAUUAGGAGGAACACCAGUGGCGAAGGCGGCCUGCUGGACUGUAACUGACGUUGAGGCUCGAAAGCGUGGGGAGCAAACAGGAUUAGAUACCC
RNAcentral lists this ribosomal RNA (442 nucleotides) under uncultured bacterium. Its description in RNAcentral is "bacterial SSU rRNA". It matches the Rfam family "Bacterial small subunit ribosomal RNA", at positions 330 to 787 of the family's 1533-position model. The record is from RNAcentral.